GGGUUCCUACGGGGGGCAGCAGUAGGGAAUCUUCCACAAUGGGCGCAAGCCUGAUGGAGCAACACCGCGUGAGUGAAGAAGGGUUUCGGCUCGGAAAGCUCUGUUGUUGGAGAAGAACGUGCGUGAGAGUAACUGUUCACGCAGUGACGGUAUCCAACCAGAAAGUCACGGCUAACUACGUGCCAGCAGCCGCGGUAAUACGUAGGUGGCAAACGUUAUCCGGAUUUAUUGGGCGUAAA
This 239-nucleotide ribosomal RNA is filed under the name uncultured bacterium. Its description in RNAcentral is "partial 16S ribosomal RNA". It matches the Rfam family "Bacterial small subunit ribosomal RNA", at positions 333 to 564 of the family's 1533-position model. The record is from RNAcentral.